RNA transcript from Cucumis melo (muskmelon), 1812 nucleotides. RefSeq lists it as uncharacterized. The transcript has 14 exons. NCBI's taxonomy places the organism in Eukaryota, Viridiplantae, Streptophyta, Magnoliopsida, Cucurbitales, Cucurbitaceae. The record is from RefSeq and is a predicted model, not a curated record.
AUAAUAAUAAUAUUAUCUAGUUCGACAGUUUUGGUUGAGAGAGUGGACGAGUAGGACGACGCAACCCAAAGAACUGGAAAUGCUCCUCCCCAAACAAUUCCAUUACUUCCUCUCUUCCUCCUCUAAGCUUCACUUCUUCAAGUCCCCAACCGAUGCUAAUUCUAAUUCCCUCUCGCUCUCCCGUUCUCCAAAUCCCGCAAGACGACGGUUGUUAACAGUGAGAGCAAGUCUCAUCACCAACUCAGACUCCUUCGAGGUCGGACGCCUCAUUGGAAGCUAUGGCUUCAUGAAUAUCACCAGCUAUUCAGGAUUUCAAUCAGGGGAAGACGUUGAAUAUUCUUCUGGAGACUUAGGGCAAUUGAGAGUUCAAGAUGUAGGAGAAGGAAGUGUAAAGAUCAGGCUUUAUGAAGGAAGAGUUUCUCAGGGUUCUCGUAAAGGAACUCCUCUUAUUUUUAAGGUGUAUCCUGGAAAGCGGGCUGGUGGUCUUGAAGCUGAUAUGAUGGCUGCAAAUGAGCUAAAUGCCCAUGCAUUUCUCCAAAGCAGUUCAAAGGACAUCAGCUCGAAUCUUGCCCUACUUAUUGGUGGAUUUGAAACAAAGACUGGGGAGCAGUGGCUAGCCUUCCGUGAUGAUGGAAAAUAUAGCGCUGCAGAUUAUGGAAAAAUAAUGGGUGAAAGGAUUUCCAAAAGGAUAGAAGAAGUCUCAUGGAACCCUUACGAACAAGAACAGGUAAUCAAGCGCAGGAGAAAUUUUGUGAUCAGGAUGUUUCAGGGCAUAAUGAGAGGUCUUGUGUAUAUGCACAACCGCAACAGAUUACACCAAAGUCUUGGACCAUCUUCUGUAGUACUCAAUACAAUUGUUGAGAAAGAUGCUGCUUACUUAAUCCCACGACUUCGAGAUCUAGCUUUUUCUGUGGACGUGAGAUAUCCGUUUCCAGAAGAUAGCCUUGGACAGCUUGCUGAGGGGCUAUGGCGACGAGCAACAGUUGCUGGCGCCUACACUCCAAUGGAGAAAAGAGCUUUUGGAAUAGCAGAUGACAUAUAUGGAGCGGGUCUCCUUUUUGCUUAUUUGGCUUUUGUACCGUUUUGUGAAGCUGGAGUUGUUGAUAGCCUCUCCUUGCAAAGGCUUUUGGAGAGCACUUUUAGACUUGAUCUUGAGGCCAUGAGAGAAUAUUGUUUAGCAGAUGAUCGGUUUGUGGAAGCGGUCAAGUUUCUCGAUCUCAAUGAUCGUGCUGGUUGGCAGUUACUUCAGGCAAUGCUGAAUUCAGAUUUUCGACAACGUCCCCUUGCUGAGGCAGUACUCAGUCAUCGGUUCUUGACGACGACAGUGAUAUAAUUCAGUCACGUUCCAAAUUUGGCUACGCAUGAUUUGUAGAGUGGCAUGUGAACCGCAUCCAAAAUUUUUAUAUGCACAUGUAUAUUCAAAAGGAGAAAGGAAAUACAACCUAGGAGUCGGCGUAGAGGGACCCCUCCAGAAACUACAUCAAAAGAAUCUUACAGAAUUUGGUGUUUAGGGAUGAGCAGGAUAUAUCGAAAAAUCGAGUGAAAUUGGAUGGAAAGCGAAGGGAGUUGGUUUGAGAAAGUUUUAAAUCGAGAAUUUCUAAAGAGUAUUUCUCUGUGUUAAACCGACUCGACUCGACAAAAAUCGACUAACAUUUACUUGACGAUGGUCAAAGUCGGAUUGAAUAUUUACUAAACCGACUAUGGUCAGUUCGAUGGCGGUUUUGUCAAAAAACCGACUUCGAUUGAUGAUUACCCCUACUAUUUAUGAGGUUUGAGAUCUUUUUAUUGUUAUUUUAUAUUUUAUUUUUCAAA